This 1058-nucleotide long non-coding RNA is filed under the name Pan paniscus (pygmy chimpanzee). Its description in RNAcentral is "lncRNA (ENSPPAG00000045154.1)". The record is from RNAcentral. Lineage: Eukaryota; Metazoa; Chordata; Mammalia; Primates; Hominidae.
AUGGGCACCAUGUCUUCUCUUUCUUGGUUUCAGACACACAGAAGAAUUACAUUUCUCUACUCCCAUGCAGGCAGAUGGGGACAUCUGAGUACUAAUGGCCAACUGAUUAUGAGUAGAAGUAACACCAAAGCCUUUGUCUGUGAAAGAUCUGCAAUUCUCUCUUCUUCUAUUGCAGCAAUGGAGGUCACAUACUUCAAAUGGUACACAGCUAGUAAGGUGGUAAAGCCUUCAUCAGACUGGGUCCUUGAGUGACUAUGUAAUGGAUGCAAGAAACAAAACUUUUGUGUGUGUCUUACACUGCUGAGAUUUUGGAGUUGUUAGUUAACAGAAUGUAGCCUAGACUAUUCUGAUUUCCAAAGUGUUCUUCCAUGAAAAAUAAGUUCUAAACUGAAUUGUUGGCAGUCAACCCAAAUCUUUCUUUUAUAGCCACUGCUGGUUGAUCCCAUAAUAUAAAUUAAUUCAUAAUUGUUUCUGACCUUCAGUUUCUUGGACAAUUCAAUUUAUUCUCCAGUUCUGUUCCCACCUUUAGUCACUAGAAGAUGCAGUGUUGUCACCACUUAUUAGUAAAUCACAAAACGAACAUUUAUAAAGUCCAUGUUUUCUUAUUCAGAGGAGGGAAUGGGGUUCAUUACUUAAGUUUGGGGAAAAGAAGAGAUAUCUUGUAUGGGUUAAUCCGACCAUGAGCUCCAAUUAACCCAUACAUGAGCCUUCCCUGCCACAUUGAGAUGAUCCUUACUGAAAAGGAACAGAUUGUUCCUAAACCAGAAGAGGAGGUUGCCCAGAAGAAAAAGAUAUCCCAGAAGAAACCGAAGAAACAAAAACUUAUGGCACGGGAGUAAAUUCAGCAUUAAAAUAAAUGUAAUUAAAAGGAAAAAAAAAAGAAGAGAUAUCUUGUUCACAAACUGCUGCCAUCCAGAUGUUGGGAAAAAUUUCAGAAGGGGAAGUAAGACAUAGAGAAGCCAACUCUGUUCUAUGCUUGAGAUGAUACAUAGCACCCAACAGGGAAAAUAGAAUUGCUUAUCGUUUAUAUUUUCCCUCUCAGAGCCAUUCAUAAUGAC